UGUAUAAUUUGAAUAGAAAGUUUAAAAUAGUUUUUAUUUUAAAUAUCAAAAGGGUUCUCUUCCUAUUCCUUCAGUUAUCUAGCAUGGACAGCUCUCAAAGCACCCAGAUCAGCUUUGUUACACCACCCUUGCUGUCAUUUGUUUGUUUGUUUUGUUUGCAUGUACUAAAGCCAAAAUCCUCUGUGUGACACUUCACACUCCACCCCAGGCAAUUUCAAAGGGUUCACCAGGCAGGCUUCAUUGGUACAGCUGCGCUGGCCAGGUCAGACUUGCUGCAGGUCUGGAAGGAGUUGAAGUCAGGGAUCGAGUCCAAAUUUUGGAGCUUCUUGGAGUCUCAAUGUCUGUGGCCAGAAAGUGAAUGAACUGGACUGGAGCAUGCCCAAAGCUCCUCUGAGGCAUCUGGAAAGCUACCAGCAAACACAGGUCCUCUCUUGAACUCCUACAGCUUUUCUAUCACCUCAACAAUUUAACACAUGUUGCAUGUGCUCUAAAAAGGUUAGCUCUGCUUUUCUUUGUUUUGGUGUGUGUGUGUGUGUGUGUGUGUGUGUGUGUGUGUGUGAGAGUGCAUUUGACUUAGGCUUGUCUCCUUCAAAUAGAUGAAAUGUUCCUGAGGGCAGAGGCCCACCUUAUCCCUCAUACACCCCAUCGAAUUUACCGCAGUGCUGAACAUAUGUGUCAUGAUCAGGCAAAUUUCAUAAAUGAAUAAAGAUAAAUGGAUUUUCUAUGGCAGGAAAACAGUUGCUAUUGACUCUCAGUUU
RNAcentral lists this long non-coding RNA (758 nucleotides) under Chinchilla lanigera (long-tailed chinchilla). RNAcentral describes it as "lncRNA (ENSCLAG00000024785.1)". The record is from RNAcentral. Lineage: Eukaryota; Metazoa; Chordata; Mammalia; Rodentia; Chinchillidae.